UACGUAGGUGGCAAGCGUUGUUCGGAAUUAUUGGGCGUAAAGGGCGCGUAGGCGGUUUGUUAAGUCGGUUGUGAAAGCCCGGGGCUCAACCCCGGAGAGUCGACCGAUACUGGCAAACUAGAGUACAGAAGAGGUAGCUGGAAUUCCUGGUGUAGCGGUGAAAUGCGUAGAUAUCAGGAGGAACACCUGAGGCGAAAGCGACUUCCUGGACCAAUACUGACGCUCAUGUGCGAAAGCGUGGGGAGCAAACAGG
Molecule: ribosomal RNA, 253 nt
Filed under: uncultured bacterium
Lineage: Bacteria
Description: partial 16S ribosomal RNA
Rfam family: Bacterial small subunit ribosomal RNA
Source: RNAcentral